RNAcentral lists this unclassified non-coding RNA (152 nucleotides) under Eufriesea mexicana. RNAcentral's name for it is "facilitated trehalose transporter Tret1-like, transcript variant X2". The record is from RNAcentral. Lineage: Eukaryota; Metazoa; Arthropoda; Insecta; Hymenoptera; Apidae.
CUGAAUGAUUGAAGUGAAACGUGUGACGGAAUCACUGCGAGUACCGUGUCUACUGCGUCCACCAGUUGAAUAUAGGAAGCAAGAACCUGGUAUAUUUUCGUGAAAGCAGAAUCCAAAGUUUUCCUCCACGCCUCAGCCACUUCCGGUGUGUA